UGGCGCACGGGUGAGUAACGCGUGGGUAAUCUGCCUUUUAGUGGGGAAUAACUUACCGAAAGGUGAGCUAAUACCGCAUAAGACCACAGUAUCUAUGGAUACAGGGGUUAAAGGGGGCUUCGGCUCUCGCUAGAAGAUGAGCUCGCGUCCCAUUAGCUAGUUGGUGGGGUAAUGGCCUACCAAGGCGACGAUGGGUAACUGGUCUGAGAGGAUGAUCAGUCACACUGGAACUGAGACACGGUCCAGACUCC
This 251-nucleotide ribosomal RNA is filed under the name uncultured bacterium. Its description in RNAcentral is "partial 16S ribosomal RNA". It matches the Rfam family "Bacterial small subunit ribosomal RNA", at positions 96 to 339 of the family's 1533-position model. The record is from RNAcentral.